Molecule: ribosomal RNA, 227 nt
Filed under: uncultured bacterium
Lineage: Bacteria
Description: partial 16S ribosomal RNA
Rfam family: Bacterial small subunit ribosomal RNA
Source: RNAcentral
AGUAAGCGUGAGCAAUCUGCCUUUAAGAGGGGGAUAACAGUCGGAAACGGCUGCUAAUACCGCAUAAAGCAUUAAAUUCGCAUGUUUUUUGAUGCCAAAGGAGCAAUCCGCUUUUAGAUGAGCUCGCGUCUGAUUAGCUGGUUGGCGGGGUAACGGCCCACCAAGGCGACGAUCAGUAGCCGGACUGAGAGGUUGAACGGCCACAUUGGGACUGAGACACGGCCCAG